AAUCAGAAUCCGAAUUGGCUUCCAAUUCUGCUCAGUUCAACACUCAAGUUCUUGGCGACCCAAAUCCAGUUCUGAGCGCCCACAUCUGACAAAACUCUAGUUUUGCUUAUUUGAGUGUGCCUAAUCUAUUUCUGCAUCCAUUUCGUGCAGAAUUGACUCCGACUCAGUCCGACACUCUCCAGAUGUGUCGACCAGUCACUAACACUGUAGCCAAUCCUAUCCAAACCUUCGAAACACUAUAAUCCAACUUUUCAAAUUAUUUGAUUUAAGUCGGUCCCACGUUAUUUUAACUUCUAAAAUUUAAAUUAAUCAGUUAUUUUACUAAAUUUAUAAUUGCAAAAAUUAUAUGUAAUACUAACUAAAUCUAUAAAGAUAAAUAAUGUAUUUGAAUUUCAAAGUUAAAGAAUCGUUAUAUGGCUCGAAUUAAAUAAAUUAAAAAAUUGAUACUAAAAUUAAAUUUUUGAAAAAUUUUCAAAAUAAUAAAAAAUAAAGAAAUGGAAGAAUGAGUUGACGACAGGAGCUUCACGAGCCCAAAUUCAUCUACAUUAUUAUUACCAGACGGAGUUCAUGUUAUCCGCCAGCCUAGAUACCAAUUUCAAACCAACCUUAAUUUCCUAUCACUUUCAAUUAUAAAAAAGUGAUGCUACACCUACACCCUUUUUCGGGCGUAUGAUGUGUGUACUCAUUCAUGCAUGUUUUUCACUUGUGGAUGCGAUAAAUAAAAUACACUAGUGAAGGCCCGCGCUACGCUGCGGAAAAUUUAUGUAAAAAAUUAAAUUUUAAAUUUUAAAUUUAAUCUUUAUUUUUUGUACAUGAUCCACAGCUAUACAAAUAAAAAAAGNUAAGGGCAAAUAAGAAAAGCUGGUGAUUGUAGAAUGGUGUAUUUGAAAAAAUUAAAAUUAAAAUACUUUUUUGUCUCUAACUUAAGGGCAAAUAAAAAAAAAAAGUUGGUAAUAAUAGAAAGUUAUAUUUAAAAAGACAAAAUAGUAAUUUCAUAAAAAUAACAGUUAUUACUAAUUGUUCACUAACAUAAUUUAACUCUAAGAACAUAUUAGAAAUAAUUUGAAACAUAAAUAUGAUAUUUUUAAUAUUAACCUUCUAAGAGGAAUUAGAAAGGCGAAAACUUUUGUAUAUAAGCGAUUACCCUUUUUUUUAUAAAUUGAUCCCAAGUGGGUCCAACAAAACUUUUUUAUUAGACAAAUAUGUUAUAGCCAAUCCAAUAACUAGUUAACUUUUUCCCCCCUUAGCAAUAGCAAAAAAAACCUAGCCUAUUUUAUCCUACAUAAUUUUUUUCUUUACCUUUCCCAAUUAUAUUGAAUCUAAUUAAUAUAUUGAUCAAUAUUUCAAAAGUCAAAUUCAAUCCUAUUU
RNAcentral lists this long non-coding RNA (1368 nucleotides) under Ananas comosus (pineapple). Its description in RNAcentral is "long non-coding RNA (ACOM_LNC000479)". Lineage: Eukaryota; Viridiplantae; Streptophyta; Magnoliopsida; Poales; Bromeliaceae. The record is from RNAcentral.